GUCCUGGCAGUAAACGGUGCACGUUUGGUGUGGGAGGAUUCGACCCCUUCCGUGCCCGGAGCUAACGCGUUAAACGUGCCGCCUGGGAAGUACGGUCGCAAGAUUAAAACUCAAAGAAAUUGACGGGGGCCCGCACAAGCGGUGGAGUAUGUGGAUUAAUUCGAUGCAACGCGAAGAACCUUACCAGGGUUUGACAUGCAUCUCUAAGUCGGUGAAAGCCGGCGAGUGUAGCAAUACACGAUUUGCACAGGUGCUGCAUGGCUGUCGU
Molecule: ribosomal RNA, 268 nt
Filed under: uncultured bacterium
Lineage: Bacteria
Description: partial 16S ribosomal RNA
Rfam family: Bacterial small subunit ribosomal RNA
Source: RNAcentral